UGUAGUUUGAUCCUGGCUCAGAUUGACGCUGGCGGCAUGCCUUACACAUGCAAGUCGAACGGCAGCGCGGGGGUAACCCUGGCGGCGAGUGGCGAACGGGUGAGUAAUACAUCGGAACGUGUCCUGUAGUGGGGGAUAGCCCGGCGAAAGCCGGAUUAAUACCGCAUACGCUCUACGGAGGAAAGGGGGGGAUCUUAGGACCUCUCGCUACAGGGGCGGCCGAUGGCAGAUUAGCUAGUUGGUGGGGUAAAGGCCUACCAAGGCGACGAUCUGUAGCUGGUCUGAGAGGACGACCAGCCACACUGGGACUGAGACACGGCCCAGACUCCUACGGGAGGCAGCAGUGGGGAAUUUUGGACAAUGGGGGAAACCCUGAUCCAGCAAUGCCGCGUGUGUGAAGAAGGCCUUCGGGUUGUAAAGCACUUUUGUCCGGAAAGAAAACAUAUGCACUAAUACUGUGUGUGGAUGACGGUACCGGAAGAAUAAGCACCG
Molecule: ribosomal RNA, 492 nt
Filed under: bacterium PMB48
Lineage: Bacteria
Description: bacterial SSU rRNA
Rfam family: Bacterial small subunit ribosomal RNA
Source: RNAcentral